UGCUACAAAGAGAGCCAUCUCCAUUGAUCACUAUUGUUGGUCAGGAGCAUGAGCCUGAGACUGAUCCAGAGGAGGAUCCUGAGGAAGAAGAGGAGUUCCCACCGAACUCCAUUGAUGCUGAGAGGUAUGAUGCACUUUAUGAUCAUAACAUAGAGUUACAGGAUACUGUCUGGGAUCUGACUGAGCGGGCGGUUAGUCAGCAUAUUACUAUUGAGCAGAGAGAUAGGGAG
RNAcentral lists this long non-coding RNA (230 nucleotides) under Panax ginseng (ginseng). RNAcentral describes it as "long non-coding RNA (PGIN_LNC000164)". The record is from RNAcentral. Lineage: Eukaryota; Viridiplantae; Streptophyta; Magnoliopsida; Apiales; Araliaceae.